RNAcentral lists this ribosomal RNA (800 nucleotides) under Staphylococcus sp. K172. Its description in RNAcentral is "bacterial SSU rRNA". It matches the Rfam family "Bacterial small subunit ribosomal RNA", at positions 62 to 843 of the family's 1533-position model. Lineage: Bacteria; Bacillati; Bacillota; Bacilli; Caryophanales; Staphylococcaceae. The record is from RNAcentral.
UCGAGCGAACGGAUAAGGAGCUUGCUCCUUUGAAGUUAGCGGCGGACGGGUGAGUAACACGUGGGUAACCUACCUAUAAGACUGGAAUAACUUCGGGAAACCGGAGCUAAUGCCGGAUAACAUUUGGAACCGCAUGGUUCUAAAGUAAAAGAUGGUUUUGCUAUCACUUAUAGAUGGACCCGCGCCGUAUUAGCUAGUUGGUAAGGUAACGGCUUACCAAGGCAACGAUACGUAGCCGACCUGAGAGGGUGAUCGGCCACACUGGAACUGAGACACGGUCCAGACUCCUACGGGAGGCAGCAGUAGGGAAUCUUCCGCAAUGGACGAAAGUCUGACGGAGCAACGCCGCGUGAGUGAUGAAGGUUUUCGGAUCGUAAAACUCUGUUAUUAGGGAAGAACAAAUGUGUAAGUAACUGUGCACAUCUUGACGGUACCUAAUCAGAAAGCCACGGCUAACUACGUGCCAGCAGCCGCGGUAAUACGUAGGUGGCAAGCGUUAUCCGGAAUUAUUGGGCGUAAAGCGCGCGUAGGCGGUUUCUUAAGUCUGAUGUGAAAGCCCACGGCUCAACCGUGGAGGGUCAUUGGAAACUGGGAAACUUGAGUACAGAAGAGGAAAGUGGAAUUCCAUGUGUAGCGGUGAAAUGCGCAGAGAUAUGGAGGAACACCAGUGGCGAAGGCGACUUUCUGGUCUGUAACUGACGCUGAUGUGCGAAAGCGUGGGGAUCAAACAGGAUUAGAUACCCUGGUAGUCCACGCCGUAAACGAUGAGUGCUAAGUGUUAGGGGGUUUCCGCCCCUUAG